AGUCCCCAGAGAGUCCUGUCUCUCGUUAUGGACACAAAAGAAAAGCCAUGUGAGGACACAGAGAGAAGGUGGCUGUCUACGAGCUAGGAAGAAAGGCCUCACCAGAAACCAACCCUCACAGCAGCUCGAUCUUGGACUUCCGACCUCCGGAACUGUGAGAAAAUAAAUGUUUGCGAUUAAGGUCGGUUGUAUUUUGUUAAGGCCAUCCUAGCAAAUGAAUACAGGCUCUUUCCUAACAUUGUCUCUUUAAGAGCUCACCAGCCUGAGGUAGGAAUCAUUCCAUCUGUGUUACUAAUGAGACCGCUGAGGAUCAAAGGGGUUUUCCACCACAUCCACUGACCUCUACAUGGCGAAAACCAAAGGUUCACUCUCUGUCUUCAGGGAGCUCCACCCAGCAGCAGCGUUUGACAGAGCUGUUCACUUCCUCUUCCUGGAGCUGUGGCUUCCAGAGUCCAUGCUCAGCAGUUCCCCUCCUUCUUCGGCUGCUUCUCUCUUAGGCUCAGAGCCACUCAGACAUUGGGAAGCAAGUUUGUCAAGAUGACAGAGAACCGAGGUAAUGGAUUCGAGUGAUGAAACAGGAAGUUCAUUCAUGAGUUUUUGGCCACACCUCCAAAGUGACGACUUGGCCAGAAAUGGGAUAACUGGAUUUCCCUACUUCUCUUUGAUCAUCCUCAAUGAGAGUGACCAAAUAUUAGAGCUAGAUGGAACCUUAGUGAAAAUCUGGCUACUCGUCCCGUCCCACCAGCCUGCCACCCGUUUCAAGUUUGAAGAGACAAAGACACAAGGACCUUAUGUAAUUACUGGGGAUUACCCCAGGAGUCUGUGGCAAAAGUCAGCUUCUUCCCUCCCUGCUUCCCCGCCCUGUCUCUGGUGCUUUCUACCAACACUAGGCUGUUUCUGUGAUCAUACUUAAGCGUACCUAACCUGUGAAUGUUGUACAGAAGCUGCUAAUGAACAUGAUUUAGCUUUAACACUCAGUUUUCUAAAGGGACACGUGGGGGCAGCAAAUGUUUAGGGAAAAAAAAUUCCAGUUCUAACCUCUACUGUCUACGUAUGUGUAUACAUUUGGGAAACGUUUCGGAAAGAGAUAUUUGAGAGCUUCUUCUCCUUUUUUGUGGUUUGGUUAUUUAAUGAUAUUGAGAUUGUUUCUGAGCCAUGUGCUUCAACAUCGGAUUGGGGAUUUCAGAAAACGUUUUAGUCACUGUGAUUCAAUUUAGCUUCCAAAUGUGCCUCUGCUAAGAGACUUAAAAGCACUCAUAAAUAGCACGUGUGUCUUCUUUGCAGUGUUUGCUAAUUUUGGGUCACAUCUUCUUUUUAGAAAAUCAUGAGAUUUGGUGUCACAGAGACGGGAAUAAAUAUAGUCAAACUCAUUGGUGAAGAUUUCCUUUAGCUGUUUUCCUAAUCCAUUUCCAUUGUUAUGAUUAUUGAUGAAUAAAACAUUUUCUUUAGGUAGAUACUUCUUUUUUUCCCCCACCUUGAUUUAAUGUUUCCACUCUUAUUGUCAAGUUUCUUAUUACUCCCUAAUAACUCUCAAUAAAAUAAUGAUUCCUGGAAGAUUA
RNAcentral lists this long non-coding RNA (1559 nucleotides) under Pongo abelii (Sumatran orangutan). RNAcentral's name for it is "lincRNA". Lineage: Eukaryota; Metazoa; Chordata; Mammalia; Primates; Hominidae. The record is from RNAcentral.